Molecule: transfer RNA, 76 nt
Filed under: Quadrisphaera sp. INWT6
Lineage: Bacteria; Bacillati; Actinomycetota; Actinomycetes; Kineosporiales; Kineosporiaceae
Description: tRNA-Phe
Rfam family: tRNA
About the family: Transfer RNA (tRNA) molecules are approximately 80 nucleotides in length. Their secondary structure includes four short double-helical elements and three loops (D, anti-codon, and T loops).
Source: RNAcentral
GGCCAGGUAGCUCAGUUGGUAGAGCGUCCGACUGAAAAUCGGAAGGUCCGGGGUUCGACCCCCCGCCUGGCCACCA